UCAGGCCUAACACAUGCAAGUCGAGGGGUAGAAGGAGCUUGCUCCUUUGAGACCGGCGCACGGGUGCGUAACGCGUAUGCAAUCUACCUUUUACAGAGGGAUAGCCCAGAGAAAUUUGGAUUAAUACCUCAUAGUAUAUAUCAUUCGCAUGUUUGGUAUAUUAAAGUUCCAACGGUAAAAGAUGAGCAUGCGUUCCAUUAGUUAGUUGGUAAGGUAACGGCUUACCAAGACGAUGAUGGGUAGGGGUCCUGAGAGGGAGAUCCCCCACACUGGUACUGAGACACGGACCAGACUCCUACGGGAGGCAGCAGUGAGGAAUAUUGGUCAAUGGACGCAAGUCUGAACCAGCCGUGCCGCGUGCAGGAAGACGGUCCUAUGGAU
This 381-nucleotide ribosomal RNA is filed under the name uncultured bacterium. RNAcentral's name for it is "bacterial SSU rRNA". It matches the Rfam family "Bacterial small subunit ribosomal RNA", at positions 42 to 423 of the family's 1533-position model. The record is from RNAcentral.